RNAcentral lists this ribosomal RNA (464 nucleotides) under uncultured bacterium. Its description in RNAcentral is "partial 16S ribosomal RNA". It matches the Rfam family "Bacterial small subunit ribosomal RNA", at positions 339 to 795 of the family's 1533-position model. The record is from RNAcentral.
CUACGGGCGGCAGCAGUGGGGAAUAUUGCACAAUGGGCGCAAGCCUGAUGCAGCCAUGCCGCGUGUAUGAAGAAGGCCUUCGGGUUGUAAAGUACUUUUAGCGGGGAGGAAGGGAGUAAAGUUAAUACCUUUGCUCAUUGACGUUACCCGCAGAAGAAGCACCGGCUAACUCCGUGCCAGCAGCCGCGGUAAUACGGAGGGUGCAAGCGUUAAUCGGAAUUACUGGGCGUAAAGCGCACGCAGGCGGUUUGUUAAGUCAGAUGUGAAAUCCCCGGGCUCAGCCUGGGAACUGCAUCUGAUACUGGCAAGCUUGAGUCUCGUAGAGGGGGGUAGAAUUCCAGGUGUAGCGGUGAAAUGCGUAGAGAUCUGGAGGAAUACCGGUGGCGAAGGCGGCCCCCUGGACGAAGACUGACGCUCAGGUGAGAAAGCGUGGGGAGCAAACAGGAUUAGAUACCCGGGUAGUC